RNAcentral lists this ribosomal RNA (2214 nucleotides) under human gut metagenome. RNAcentral's name for it is "bacterial LSU rRNA". It matches the Rfam family "Bacterial large subunit ribosomal RNA", at positions 208 to 2419 of the family's 2925-position model. The record is from RNAcentral.
ACCCGGAGGAAGAGAAAUCAAACGAGAUGCCCACAGUAGCGGCGAGCGAAGAGGGCAGAGCCCAAACCGAGAAGCUCCGGCUUUUCGGGGUUGAGGACCGGCAGAAUCGAAGUCAGGCCUAGUUGAAUUACCUGGAAAGGUAAGCGAGAGAGGGUAAAAGCCCCGUAGACGAAAGGCAGAGCAGAGAGGCCGAGAUCCAGAGUACCACGAAGCACGAGGAAUUUUGUGGGAAGCAGGGGGGACCACCCUCCAAGGCUAAAAACUACUUGGCGACCGAUAGCGCAUAGUACCGUGAGGGAAAGGUGAAAAGAACCCCGGGAGGGGAGUGAAAUAGUACCUGAAACCGUAUGUCUACAAGCAGUCGAAGCGAAAGCGACGGCGUGCCUAUUGAAGAAUGAACCAACGAGUUAUCUGCACUAGCGAGGUUAAGUGGAAGACACGGAGCCGCAGCGAAAGCGAGUCUUAAGAGGGCGCUAGUUAGUGUAGGUAGACCCGAAACCGCAGUGAUCUACCCAUGUCCAGGUUGAAGCGCAGGUAAAAUUGCGUGGAGGACCGAACCGGUGAGCGUUGAAAAGCUUUCGGAUGAGAUGUGGGUAGGGGUGAAAUUCCAAUCGAACGCGGAGAUAGCUGGUUCUCCCCGAAAUAGCUUUAGGGCUAGCCUGAGGUAGUAAGUAUAGGCGGUAGAGCACUGAUCGGGCUAGGGGCCGUAAAGGUUACCGAACCCUGUCAAACUCCGAAUGGAUAUACUGUAGAGCCUUGGAGUCAGACUACGAGUGAUAAGAUCCGUGGUCAAAAGGGAAACAGCCCAGACCACCAGCUAAGGUCCCCAAUGUCGUACUAAGUGGAAAAGGAUGUGGGGUUUCAUAAACAACCAGGAUGUUGGCUCAGAAGCAGCCACCAUUUAAAGAGUGCGUAAUAGCUCACUGGUCGAGAGACCCUGCGCCGAAGAUUCCCGGGGCUAAAGUACGAAACCGAAGCUGUGGCUGUAUACGUAAAGUAUACGGGGUAGGGGAGCGUUCCCAUAGGGUAGAAGUCGAACUGGAAGGUUCGGUGGACUUGUGGGAAGUGAGAAUGUUGGUAUGAGUAGCGAAAAGAAAGGUGAGAAUCCUUUCCACCGAAAGCAUAAGGAUUCCUGAGCAACGAUCGUCGUCUCAGGGUAAGUCGGGACCUAAUCCGAGGCAGAGAGCGUAGGAGAUGGACAACUGGUUGAUAUUCCAGUACCGGUAGUAAUUGUUUGAGCAAUGGAGUGACACAGAAGGGCAGGCAAGCAUGCGAAUGGAAGAGCAUGUGUAAGCGUGUAGGGUGGUGCAUAGGCAAAUCCGUGCACUGAAAGCCUGAGGCGUGAUGCGGAGUGAGCAGAGAUGCGAGCGAAGUUGUUGACCCCACACUGUCGAGAAAAGCUUCUAGUGAGAGAGCUACCGCCCGUACCGUAAACCGACACAGGUAUGCGGGGAGAGAAUCCUAAGGUGCGCGGGAGAACCCUCGUUAAGGAACUCGGCAAAAUGUACCCGUAACUUCGGGAUAAGGGUAGCCACUGUUGUGAAGUCCCAUGCGGAUGGAGCAUAGAGUGGUCGCAGAGAAGAGGCCCAAGCGACUGUUUACCAUAAACACAGGUGCCUGCUAAAGCGAAAGCUGACGUAUAGGUGCUGACACCUGCCCAGUGCCGGAAGGUUAAGGAAGGAUGUUCGGAUUAGUCCAAAGCAUUCGACUGAAGCCCCGGUGAACGGCGGCCGUAACUAUAACGGUCCUAAGGUAGCGAAAUUCCUUGUCGGGUAAGUUCCGACCCGCACGAAAGGUGUAACGAUUUGGGCACUGUCUCAACGAGGGACCCGGUGAAAUUGAAAUACCUGUGAAGAUGCAGGUUACCCGCGACUGGACAGAAAGACCCCAUGGAGCUUUACUGUAACCUGACAUUGGGUUUUGAUACAUUACGUACAGGAUAGGUGGGAGGCAUGGAAAGCUGGACGCUAGUCUGGCUGGAGCCGCCGUUGGGAUACCACCCUUGAUGUAUUGAAAUUCUAACCGCGAGAGUAACGAAAUCCGGGACAGUGUCAGGCGGGCAGUUUGACUGGGGCGGUCGCCUCCGAAAGAGUAACGGAGGCGCCCAAAGGUUCCCUCAGCGCGGCCGGAAAUCGCGCGAAGAGUGUAAAGGCAGAAGGGAGCUUGACUGCGAGUCAAACACGACGAGCAGGUACGAAAGUAGGGCUUAGUGAU